Molecule: ribosomal RNA, 348 nt
Filed under: uncultured bacterium
Lineage: Bacteria
Description: bacterial SSU rRNA
Rfam family: Bacterial small subunit ribosomal RNA
Source: RNAcentral
UAGUUCUUCGGAAUUAGAGACCGGCGCACGGGUGCGUAACGCGUAUGCAAUCUACCUUUCACAGAGGGAUAGCCCAGAGAAAUUUGGAUUAAUACCUCAUAGUAUGCAGAGUUGGCAUCAGCUCUGCAUUAAAGUCACAACGGUGAAAGAUGAGCAUGCGUCCCAUUAGCUAGUUGGUAAGGUAACGGCUUACCAAGGCUACGAUGGGUAGGGGUCCUGAGAGGGAGAUCCCCCACACUGGUACUGAGACACGGACCAGACUCCUACGGGAGGCAGCAGUGAGGAAUAUUGGUCAAUGGGCGCAAGCCUGAACCAGCCAUGCCGCGUGCAGGAUGACGGUCCUAUGGA